UACGAAGGGGGCGAGCGUUGUUCGGAAUUACUGGGCGUAAAGGGCGCGUAGGCGGCCGAUCAAGUCAGAUGUGAAAGUCCUGGGCUUAACCUGGGGACUGCAUUUGAUACUGAUUGGCUUGAAUUCGGGAGAGGACAGCGGAAUUCCCAGUGUAGAGGUGAAAUUCGUAGAUAUUGGGAAGAACACCGGUGGCGAAGGCGGCUAUCUGGACCGACAUUGACGCUGAGGCGCGAAAGCGUGGGGAGCAAACAGG
Molecule: ribosomal RNA, 253 nt
Filed under: uncultured bacterium
Lineage: Bacteria
Description: partial 16S ribosomal RNA
Rfam family: Bacterial small subunit ribosomal RNA
Source: RNAcentral